GAGUUUGAUCAUGGCUCAGGAUGAAUGCUGGCGGCGUGGAUAAGGCAUGCAAGUCGAGUGGGUUUAGACCCACGGCAGACGAGGUAGUAACACGUAGGAACGUACCCCAAAGUCGGGAAUAUUCCAUCGAAAGAUGGCGCAAUACCCGAUGGUCUCUAAGGAGUAAAGAUUUAUCGCUUUGGGAGCGGCCUGCGCAAUAUCAGCUAGUUGGUGAGGUAAUGGCUCACCAAGGCUAUGACGUUUAGGGGAGCUGAGAGGCUGACCCCCACCGACGGAACUGAGAAACGGUCCUUACUCCUACGGGAGGCCGCAGUCGAGAAUCUUCCGCAAUGGACGCAAGUCUGACGGAGCGACGCCGCGUGGUAGAUGAAGUCCUUCGGGACGUAAAUACCUUUUAUGAGGGAUGACAUUUCGACAGUACCUCAUGAAUAAGGGGCUCCUAACUCUGUGCCAGCAGGAGCGGUAAUACAGAGGCCCCAAGCAUUAUCCGGAAUCACUGGGCGUAAAGGGUGCGUAGGUGGCGUUAUUAGUCCUCUUUCAAAUCUUCCGGGCUCAACCCGGAAGCUCGAGGGGAAACGGUAACGCUCGAGGAUGUACGAGGUAUGUGGAACUCUAGGUGUAGGGGUGAAAUCCGUUGAUAUCUAGGGGAACACCAAAUGCGAAGGCAGCAUACUGGGACAUUCCUGACACUGAGGCACGAAA
RNAcentral lists this ribosomal RNA (702 nucleotides) under uncultured bacterium. RNAcentral's name for it is "bacterial SSU rRNA". It matches the Rfam family "Bacterial small subunit ribosomal RNA", at positions 9 to 758 of the family's 1533-position model. The record is from RNAcentral.